GGCGACGGUCAGGGCCGCGCCUGCUGUACGAAGAGAAUCGACUGGUUAAAAUCGAUUCAGGUACACAGUAUGUGCAGAGCAGAAAUCAAAUCCGUUCCAAUCAUGGUGCAAGAUUGAAUGUGAUGGAUAUGACAGAACAUGACCAUGGUAAAAAUGAUGGUCCAGAAACGGUCCUCCUUGUGCAUCGGAGGGUAACGAUGGGAGCCGCACUGUGUCGCAGUCACAGC
Molecule: long non-coding RNA, 227 nt
Organism: Scleropages formosus (Asian bonytongue)
Lineage: Eukaryota; Metazoa; Chordata; Actinopteri; Osteoglossiformes; Osteoglossidae
Exons: 3
Source: RefSeq, a predicted model, not a curated record